CCUACGGGAGGCAGCAGUGAGGAAUAUUGGUCAAUGGGCGCGAGCCUGAACCAGCCAAGCAGCGUGAAGGAUGACUGUCCUACGGGUUGUAAACUUCUUUUAUAAAGGAAUAAAGUGAGGCACGUGUGCCUUUCUGUAUGUACUUUACGAAUAAGGAUCGGCUAACUCCGUGCCAGCAGCCGCGGUAAUACGGAGGAUCCGAGCGUUAUCCGGAUUUAUUGGGUUUAAAGGGAGCGUAGACGGGUUGUUAAGUCAGUUGUGAAAGUCUGGGGCUCAACCGUAAAAUUGCAAUUGAUACUGGCAGCCUUGAGAACAGUUGAGGUAGGCGGAAUUCGUGGUGUAGCGGUGAAAUGCUUAGAUAUCACGAAGAACUCCGAUUGCGAAGGCAGCUUACUAACCUACCACUGACGUUGAUGCUCGAAAGUGUGGGUAUCAAACAGGAUUAGAUACCCGAGUAGUC
RNAcentral lists this ribosomal RNA (460 nucleotides) under uncultured bacterium. RNAcentral describes it as "partial 16S ribosomal RNA". It matches the Rfam family "Bacterial small subunit ribosomal RNA", at positions 338 to 795 of the family's 1533-position model. The record is from RNAcentral.